This is a long non-coding RNA of Fundulus heteroclitus (mummichog), 926 nucleotides long. RefSeq lists it as uncharacterized. The transcript has 3 exons. The record is from RefSeq and is a predicted model, not a curated record. Lineage: Eukaryota; Metazoa; Chordata; Actinopteri; Cyprinodontiformes; Fundulidae.
CUCUAUGGAGCAGUAUCAGACUCAAAUUCUGACUUGAAUUGAGUAUGAUAACGUCAGGCUAGCUUCCAACCCUCCUGGACUAACUUUAGCCAGACUGACACAGCAAAGGGAUAAAACUGGGAUCAACAGUCCCUAAGAAGCUGGACAGCAGAACCUUGACAGAAUCUCAUUGACUAACAGCUGGAGACACAAUCUCUGCUGGUAGAGAUGAAGUCAGAGGGACAGAAGGACAACCUGUCUCACUCAGCUGUAGCUAUGAGACAACAUGAGUAUCCUGUCCUCCAUUGGUCCAAACCUGGUUCUGAAAAAAUGAAAAAUGAACAGCAGGAAAAAAAUAGUUCCUAACCCUAUAGUUAGCAAACCAGCAGCUGUGGUGACGUUCUCUGACUCUGGGAUUCCUGGACUGACGCUAAAAGCAGACAGCAGGUGCCGUAGGUCCAAGGUGGAAGGAAGAGAGACGAAAGAAAAAAUGAAAAACACAAAAGUUAAGUCUCCUGGUUACAUGGCCGGGGUGGCCAUGUGUGCACGUUGGCGCACGUGAACAGCUUCCUGCCCAGAAAAUGCCUCCACCAGCACAAGAUGGUGGAGGGGACGUCCAGCAGAUGAAAACGUUCUCCUGCUAACUGCUUUAUAAAGUUAUGCAUUCCUUACUUCUUCACUAGAUAUGUUCUUCUGAAAGGUGAUGCUGUGUUCCUGUGUUUAUCCUCUGCAUAUAUGCGCACAGGAGGUGGAGGGGGAGAAGGGAGGAGGAAAUGAUGGAGAGGAGAUAGAGAGGCAUGGCUGGGCAUCCAACUUGUUUUGGUUUGUAGAUGGAGCUCCAGCCCCACCUGGUGGUGAAAUGCCACUUACUGCUCAUUUAAUAAACACCUUACUGAAACACUGUGUGAACCUGGUAUAAAAUGAAAUAAUAAGUAUCACUAAUAAAA